ACAGCAAAGCAUCAUGGGCUAAACGGAAGAAACUUUAUCCUCAAAGUAAUUGCAUGUGAAACGAUCAACGGCCGCCACUUCCCCGUCUACUUUGCUUCCGCCUCUCGCCGAGCUGGAGUUCAGCAGUCGACGGGAGAGCGAUCGGGGAUCGAUUCAGCGUGUCUACACUACAUGCAAUAAAUUGAUCCCCAAUAGAUCGAUCGCUACCCGCCGAUCUGGCGGGUAGUGUAGACAUACCCCAAGUCACAUGAGUUCUGCUGUUGACUCAACUGGGAUUACAUACAUUAGUAAAGUGAAAAAGGUCUCAAGACUGGAAGCGUGGAAAGGACAGACAGAUGAGUAGGCAUCUCUCUAGAAGACUAUAGAAAGACAUGGGAACUAAAAGGAGCAAGUCUAUUGAAAUUAAAACAAAAAAAACAAAAACGAGGGCAAAAUGGAACUGGAGAGAAACAGGAUGUGAAUGAAGAUAACAGGGAUGAUAUAGUCCAGUCUCCAGGGGAAAAGUUGCCUGAGCACAACAUUUGAAUCAUUAAAUGUUUAGAAAAUAAAGAAUUAGAAAGUGCAAAAGAGAGAAAUGAAACAAUCAAGGCAGAAUGUGAUCACAGUAUGAAUAAGAAAUUCAGCAGACUGAGUCAAAGGAGGAAUUCUAGCAAUAUUCUGGAAGUGGUGAAAGAGGUUUAUAGACAAGGGAGACAUAGGAGGUCAGAGGGAGUCUGAAGUCAAAGUUGACAUGAUUUUUGGCCUUGGAAGUAAAGUUUAGUUUGAAAGUAAAGAACAGUCAAGAGA
Long non-coding RNA from Mauremys reevesii (Reeves's turtle), 786 nucleotides. RefSeq lists it as uncharacterized. The transcript is spliced from 2 exons. The record is from RefSeq and is a predicted model, not a curated record. Lineage: Eukaryota; Metazoa; Chordata; Testudines; Geoemydidae.